AGCGAACGCUGGCGGCAGGCCUAACACAUGCAAGUCGAACGGAUCCUUCGGGAUUAGUGGCGGACGGGUGAGUAACACGUGGGAACGUGCCCUUUGGUUCGGAACAACUCAGGGAAACUUGAGCUAAUACCGGAUGUGCCCUUCGGGGGAAAGAUUUAUCGCCAUUGGAGCGGCCCGCGUCUGAUUAGCUAGUUGGUGAGGUAACGGCCCACCAAGGCGACGAUCAGUAGCUGGUCUGAGAGGAUGAUCAGCCACACUGGGACUGAGACACGGCCCAGACUCCUACGGGAGGCAGCAGUGGGGGAUCUUGCGCAAUGGGCGAAAGCCUGACGCAGCCAUGCCGCGUGAAUGAUGAAGGUCUUAGGAUUGUAAAAUUCUUUCAGCGGGGACGAUAAUGACGGUACCCGCAGAAGAAGCUCCGGCUAACUUCGUG
This 433-nucleotide ribosomal RNA is filed under the name uncultured bacterium. RNAcentral's name for it is "partial 16S ribosomal RNA". It matches the Rfam family "Bacterial small subunit ribosomal RNA", at positions 29 to 507 of the family's 1533-position model. The record is from RNAcentral.